Molecule: long non-coding RNA, 1713 nt
Filed under: Lupinus angustifolius (narrow-leaved blue lupine)
Lineage: Eukaryota; Viridiplantae; Streptophyta; Magnoliopsida; Fabales; Fabaceae
Description: long non-coding RNA (LANG_LNC002054)
Source: RNAcentral
ACGAACAACUCCUUCUUUGCUUCAUCAGAUUCACCCUCACCGGUGUACUUUCCAAGCUGAGCCAGUGAGUUGGACUUGGCACGGAAAAGGAGUGCAUCCUGUGCCGCCUUCACGUUCUCAGGGAGGCCUCCCCAUGUCUUCAAUGUAGUGUUCUGGAGGGCUCUGGCGUAUGAGAAUGACACGUGCCAUGGGUUAGGGGAUUGGUUUAUGGCAUUCAAGUUGAGGGUUGCUUCAACCUCAGAUUGUCCACCAGAUAAGAACUGCACAACAUAACUUCGGUCAGUACAUGAACAUUGUAUUAGUGAGUCAGAGGGAUGCUUUUGGAACAUAAAGAAUAAUGCAUUCGAUUGUGUCACUUACCAUAAUUCCAGGGACAGCAGAGGGAACUCUCCUGUGAAGGAGUUUGAGGGUGUACUCAGCAACCUUCUGAGGAGAUGCCUUCUCCUUGGAUUCAGCUCCCGGAGUAACCAUGCUAGGCUUCAGGAGAAUACCCUCAAACAGGACAUUGUUCUCAGCAAGGUAGAAGAAAACUUCAGCCCAGACCUUUUGGGCGACUUCGAAAGUCCUUUCAAUACUAUGUUCACCAUCAAGCAAGAUCUCUGGCUCCACAAUUGGAACCAACCCGUUGUCCUAGAAAACCAUUAAAUGAAAAAACAAUAAAAAACCGCACAUUCAGAAAACCGUAGAAACAUAUCCUAGCUCAAGUUACUUAUAUAACUGUAACAAAAAAGGUGUUAAUUAUAUGAGUUGAAUGGUUUUCUCACCUGAGAAAUUGCAGCAUAACGAGCCAGACCCCAGGCUGCUUCCUUAACUGCGAGAGCAGAGGGACCGUUGGGGAUGCUCACAACAGUACGCCUAACAUACGUAUUCAGAUAAAUUUAGUACUGUGAUGUAAAUAUGAACAUCAAUAUCAGAUUUUUAUGCAUUACAAGGGGAAUCUAGAUACACACUCACCAUUUGGCGAAGCGGGCACCUUGCUGGUAGUACGCAGCUGUGCGAGAUGCAAGACCGUCCAGACCUUGGCACCAUGACUCAUCAUUGGAACCAACUAGGGGCACCAAACCCUAUUUUUCUCGGCAUAUUAACCACUUGUUAACAUAUAUGAUGCCAUAAAUACUGCUUAACUCCUCUACCAUCAAUCAUCAAGUCUCUCCAAUAAAAUAGUACUAAUCAAGAAAAAUAAUCCACUCUAACAUAAAUCAUUUCAGUGUGUUUGCUUUCACAUACAAAUGUUACGAAGUAGGCGAAAAUUCUAAUCUGCUCCGAGAACUAGAGAUUUUCUUACAUCUGUUUUGAGGGCUAUUAGUAUCCCUACUUCAACUACAUUCUUAAUGUAGUUAAUGUUUUACAAAUCUCUUGCUCAAAGAGCACCUAGGAAUCUCUCACACACAAGGUACCUAUAAUGCUUAGAAUAACAUCAAAAUAUGUUAAAAUUUCCUAUAUGUUACAUAUAACGAUUGUUUAUGUAAGGGCGUGAAACAUCUUCCUAUAUUAUUCAUAUCAGAAUUCUUGCUUAUUCUUUUCAAUAUUCGUUAUUAAGGCGCUGCACGAUCUAAAAUUGUAUACAAGAGAGUUUAAUUCUGGGUGGCCUACCUUGUCAACUUUAAUACCAGGAAUAAUGUUCUGCUCAACAAGUACAUCUACAAUCUUCUUUCCAUCAACUGUGGAUUGGUAGAGAGUUUCCUCAAAGAGAAUGGCACCAGAGAUGUACUG